RNA transcript from Quercus robur (English oak), 2344 nucleotides. RefSeq lists it as uncharacterized. The record is from RefSeq and is a predicted model, not a curated record. NCBI's taxonomy places the organism in Eukaryota, Viridiplantae, Streptophyta, Magnoliopsida, Fagales, Fagaceae. The transcript has 4 exons.
CUUGGGAUUGAGGGAUGGGUGAUGAGGACUCCCCAUUGGUGAUAGUGAGAGCUGGAGGUCCAGGUCGGUUGGCGUGGGUGUCGUGGAAUCUUGGCCAGAUGAGGAGGCCAUGUGGAUGAAUGGUUGAACUCUGUUUUGGGGUAUAUGAAACAGGGGAGGUUUGGCUGCUCACUCAUCAGUUAUGCAAGACCAAACUAAUCAAAUGGUCAGAUUAGCAAACUGUGUCACUUACAUUAUAGUCCUCAGCUACCUCCGCUACCUAAUCUAUUAGCGAUGUGGGUUCUAGUUCUCACUUCAAACCAUAUUGGUUCUGCUUUUGAGUCCCCCAUCACAAAAAACGUGACCUGAAAGUGAAAAAAGGCUCAGUGGGAUGUUUAGGAAGAACCGUAACGUUCUCAUCAAACAUCCUUUUGGCUCUGAAUGAUUCAUUUGAAUGAUGGGCGAUGGUAAAACCAGCUCUCUCCUACAUUUCUCAUUGCCCUUUGGUUCUAUACAAACUCUUCACACACAGAAAACUCCACAACGCUCUUUUCCCUCAAGAACUACUCGUUUCCGCUCUCAUUCUUGCUUUAAACUCUUGCUCUUCUAUUUCAUACUGCCGGGCAAUUCAUGCCCGCGUAAUCAAAUCUGUGGAUUAUAGCGAUGGGUUUAUUGGUGAUCAGUUGGUGUCAAAGUACGUUAAAUUUGGAGGUGCAGAAGAUGCACAGAAGUUGUUUGAUGAAAUGCCGCACAAGGAUGUGGUCUCCUGGAAUUCUUUAAUUACUGGGUUAUCGCAAAUGGGGUGUAUUGGUAAGUGCCUAAGUACACUUUUUAGGAUGAAAUUUGAGAUGGGAAUGAAACCUAAUGAGGUCACACUUUUAUCUGUAAUCAGUGCCUGUACUGAUUUUGUAGUACUAGAUGUAGGCAAGUACUACUUUUUUAUUGGUCAGAUUGAUUCUAUUCCUGGGAGGCGGCCUUUCCUUUUAUCAAGGACGUGGUGCAUGCACGACCUUCGGAUAAAAAGGUGUAGCCAUUUCAGGUAAGCUUACUCUUCAAUUAACACAUACUUGAUCAAAUCAUAUAAUUUUGCUUGAGAUGGUCUUGAGUUUAUGUUUAGAUAACUUAUUUUUCUUUGAGUUUAAACUGGUCAAGUAUUAUGGUAUUUUGAUACAUCAUUUUUUGAAUCUUUCUUUACUAACCUGAAGUGCACCUGACUUUUAUCUGUUAUAUAGCUGGCCAAUCCUCAAUGUAGUGACACAGUUUGCUAAUCUGACCAUUUGAUUAGUUUGGUCUUGCAUAACUGAUGAGCGAGCAGCCAAACCUUCCCUGUUUCAUAUAUCCCAAAACAGAGUUCAACCAUUCACCCACAUGGCCCCCUCAUCUGACCAAGAUUCCACGACACCCAUGCCAACUGACCCGAACCUCCAGCUCUCACUAUCACCAAUGGGGAGUCCUCAUCACCCAUCCCUGAAUCCCAUGCCCAUGCAACUCUCCCCUCCCCACGACCACCCACUCCCUCUGGACCAUCUCAAUGUGAGCUUGGUCGUCCCAGACUACAUGUGGAACUCGCAAAAGGAGGAGGCAAAAUGGCCAGCCAUUAUGGUUAUAUUUGCAUAUAUCUAAAGAGGCCAAAGACUGCAACGCAGCCAGCAAGGUUAGAACAAACUUUUACAAGCAGCCUGGAUAAGGUAGACCUUCAUUUCAAGAAGAGUAGGCAGGAUAUUGGCAUGUGAAAGGUACUUGGACAAGCAGUUCAGUUUCAGUUGACUUUCAUAAAAUCCAGGUCUAUAAAUAUUUGCCUUGGAUGCUCCAUCAGAGAACUUUUCUUGUACUACACCUACUGGAAUAUAUGCAGUUUAAGCAAACUGUUACAAUUGAUGACUCUUGUGCAUGGAAGUCACAAUCUUUUGUGAUCUAGCUAAUGUAAACGUGAAAUUUUGUAGCUAAAUGGUGCAGACUUAUAUAAUUAAUUUGAUGCCCAGAAAAAAAAAAAAAAAAAAAAAAAAAAAAAAAAAAAAAAGGAAACGAAGAACAAUAAGAGGGAGAGACAUUCAUUGGUUGACUAUUAGACAUAUGGAAGAAAUAUGUGAUAAGGCAAUCAGCACAUGGUUGAUAACAUUAUGUGAGUAUUUGGUUUUCAUUUUCUUGAACCUCCGGAUUAAGUUUCCAGCUUAUGGUUUAAAAGCAACUGUUAUAUUCGUGAUCUAGUUUCUGGAUUAAGUUUCUUGGGCUUAUAUGCCAUGCAAAUAAACUUUAUCCGGUGUCCUUAGUUAUGUCAUAUCUUGUAUUCCUAAUGUUAUAGAGCAUCUUCUUCAUCCUUGAGUGUUCACUUGAUAGUUAGAUAAAUUAGCCAUCAUAUCUAUCA